RNAcentral lists this non-coding RNA (399 nucleotides) under Lobosporangium transversale. RNAcentral describes it as "Eukaryotic large subunit ribosomal RNA". It matches the Rfam family "Eukaryotic large subunit ribosomal RNA", at positions 2621 to 3399 of the family's 3401-position model. The record is from Rfam by way of RNAcentral. Lineage: Eukaryota; Fungi; Mortierellomycota; Mortierellomycetes; Mortierellales; Mortierellaceae.
ACACAAAAAUCAUUCUUUUUCAUUAGUUCACAGAAAUAACUGGCUUGUGCAGCCAAGCGUUCAUAGCGACGUUGCUUUUUGAUCCUUCGAUGUCGGCUCUUCCUGUCAUACUGGAGCAGAAUUCAGUACGCGCCUCUAAGUCAGAAUCCGUGCUAGAACGCGACGAUUACCGCCUUUUCCGAUAAUUAGUUGAAUACGAAUAGAGCUUCGGCUCCUGAAUCAUGCUACGUGGGUUAUCUUGUGGAGCGGAAAGGCUUCAUGAGGUUCCUGCUAAUGUUAAUUUCAAAUAUUGGAAGAGAUAAAUCCAUUGCAGACGACUUUUAAGCAACGGUGUACUGUAAGCUGUAGAGUAGCCUUGUUGCUACGAUCCGCUGAGAUUAAGCCAUUUGUUGAAGAUUU